GACGAACGCUGGCGGCGUGCUUAACACAUGCAAGUCGAACGGGUCUGCCCUGUUUUUUGCGGGGUGGGUCAGUGGCGAACGGGUGAGUAACACGUGAGUAACCUGCCCCUCACUUCUGGAUAACCGCUUGAAAGGGUGGCUAAUACGGGGUGUUCUGGCUGUGCCGCAUGGUGUGGCUGGGAAAGAUUCACUUUUGUGGUGUUUUGGUGGGUGAUGGGCUCGCGGCCUAUCAGCUUGUUGGUGGGGUGAUGGCCUGCCAAGGCUUUGACGGGUAGCCGGCCUGGGAGGGUGGGCGGUCACACUGGGACUGAGAGACGGCCCAGACUCCUGCGGGAGGCAGCAGGGGGGGGUAUUGCACAAUGGGCGGAAGCCUGAUGCAGCGACGUCGCGUGAGGGAUGGAGGCCUUCGGGUUGUGAACCUCUUUCGCCGGUGAAGAAGGUCCUGCUCUUUGUGGUGGGGUUGACGGUAGCCGGGUUAUGUAGCGCCGGCUAACUACGUG
Molecule: ribosomal RNA, 500 nt
Filed under: uncultured bacterium
Lineage: Bacteria
Description: partial 16S ribosomal RNA
Rfam family: Bacterial small subunit ribosomal RNA
Source: RNAcentral